UCGGGAAUUUUGGGCAAUGGGGGAAACCCUGACCCAGCAACGCCGCGUGAAGGAUGAAGUAUUUCGGUAUGUAAACUUCGAAAGAAUAGGAAGAAUAAAUGACGGUACUAUUUAUAAGGUCCGGCUAACUACGUGCCAGCAGCCGCGGUAAUACGGGGGGUGCAAGCGUUAAUCGGAAUUAUUGGGCGUAAAGGGUGCGUAGGUUGUUUGAUAAGAUAUAUGUGAAAUACCUGGGCUCAACCUGGGAAGGUCAUAUAAGACUGUCAGACUCGAGUAUGGGAGAGGGUAGAGGAAUUUCCGGUGUAGCGGUGAAAUGCGUAGAUAUCGGAAGGAACAUCGGUGGCGAAGGCGUCUACCUGGCCUAAUACUGACACUGAGGCACGAAAGCGUGGGGAGCAAACAGGAUUAGAUACCCAAGUAGUCCCUGAGCGGGCUGGCAAGGCGCAU
This 447-nucleotide ribosomal RNA is filed under the name uncultured bacterium. Its description in RNAcentral is "bacterial SSU rRNA". It matches the Rfam family "Bacterial small subunit ribosomal RNA", at positions 355 to 825 of the family's 1533-position model. The record is from RNAcentral.